Molecule: long non-coding RNA, 219 nt
Organism: Camelus dromedarius (Arabian camel)
Lineage: Eukaryota; Metazoa; Chordata; Mammalia; Artiodactyla; Camelidae
Exons: 3
Source: RefSeq, a predicted model, not a curated record
CAUGGAGACGUUCUUGGUAACCAGCAGGGCCAGGUGACCGGCCGUGGUUUCUCGGACCAGCUCUGGAGGAGACCAAGGAGACGGCCAGACGGCUUGUUGUCAGGAUAAAGAGCCAUCAAGUAAAAUGACCGGACUCCCAGCCCCACAUAAGGAGCAUCUUCCCUGCAUCAAGCGUUGUAAUGCUCACAAGGGCUGAGGAGGUCCCUGCUCAGCCCAAGC